This 218-nucleotide ribosomal RNA is filed under the name Psychrobacillus psychrotolerans. Its description in RNAcentral is "partial 16S rRNA. Bacterial SSU". It matches the Rfam family "Bacterial small subunit ribosomal RNA", at positions 1 to 211 of the family's 1533-position model. Lineage: Bacteria; Bacillati; Bacillota; Bacilli; Caryophanales; Bacillaceae. The record is from RNAcentral.
CUAUUAUGGAGAGUUUGAUCCUGGCUCAGGACGAACGCUGGCGGCAUGCCUAAUACAUGCAAGUCGAGCGAAUGACGAAGAAGCUUGCUUCUUCUGAUUUAGCGGCGGACGGGUGAGUAACACGUGGGCAACCUGCCCUGUAGAUUGGGAUAACUCCGGGAAACCGGGGCUAAUACCGAAUAAUCCAUUUCCUCUCAUGGGGAGAUGUUAAAAGACGG